RNAcentral lists this long non-coding RNA (747 nucleotides) under Struthio camelus australis. RNAcentral describes it as "lncRNA (ENSSCUG00000001584.1)". Lineage: Eukaryota; Metazoa; Chordata; Aves; Struthioniformes; Struthionidae. The record is from RNAcentral.
CGGCUGCCAGCGCCGGGCUGCAGCAGGAGCAGCUGCGCUUCGGCAUCCAGCGCGCUUCUCUGCGAGGAGGAGGAUGCUUCGCCUCAAAAAUUUCCUGUUUACUAUGCAACACUAUCAGAGGUGUGCUCUGCAUUUUGCCAUCAACAGUCUUGUUGGGUCAUCUGUGAUGAACAGGAGGAGAGGUUGGGCAGCAGAUUGACUGUUCGAAGAGCAGCAGUAGGCAUCUCUGGAGAGACUUAUAGUUGUAAGUACGUGGUUUCUUUGAGGUUCGGAGUCCACAGUGCAGAAUGGAAAAUCUGGCAAAUACCUUUGCUGCCAGGGUUGUCCUGGGUUUGGUCUAGCCAUGGCUUUUGCUGCUGUGGUAAGCCACCAGCAAGACGACACCAUUCAGGCACAGAAGCCAGGGCUUCACAGGCUAACUGUAGGGUUACGUAGCAAAACUACUGAGUAGCAGUAAAAUUUAUGCAGGCAUCAGUGUAUACUCAUAUCACCCUCUACCUGCUUCUGCACUAGAAGAUGAACAUCUUUCACGCCUGGUUCCAGCCACCACCAUUGCCACAAUCUCCACUGGAUGCCAAAAGCCUCCAUCUCCUCCAGGUGGGUCUCUGGAGUGAAGUUGCCAUCUGAAGGAGGUGAGUGAGCAUCUCCCUUGCUCCGAGUGAGCAUCUCCCUUGCUCCAUCUGAAAGCAAAGGCAGAGCAGGUGAGCGCUGGGCAGUGAAAAGCGUUGUGUUGGUGCGGAGGAGAUG